AGUGCUAUAUGACUUUCAAUGUAUUAGGUUUAUCCAACUCGUUGAAUAGUUUAAUGGUAUAUUUCUCGGUAUUCUAGGCUCGGCCUUACAAUAUAACAAACAAGUUUGACCUCAAAUCAGGUAGGAUUACCCGCUGAACUUAAGCAUAUCAAUAAGCGGAGGAAAAGAAACCAACAGGGAUUGCCUUAGUAACGGCGAGUGAAGCGGCAAAAGCUCAAAUUUGAAAUCUGGCACCUUCGGUGUCCGAGUUGUAAUUUGAAGAAGGUAACUUUGGAGUUGGCUCUUGUCUAUGUUCCUUGGAACAGGACGUCACAGAGGGUGAGAAUCCCGUGCGAUGAGAUGCCCAAUUCUAUGUAAAGUGCUUUCGAAGAGUCGAGUUGUUUGGGAAUGCAGCUCUAAGUGGGUGGUAAAUUCCAUCUAAAGCUAAAUAUUGGCGAGAGACCGAUAGCGAACAAGUACAGUGAUGGAAAGAUGAAAAGAACUUUGAAAAGAGAGUGAAAAAGUACGUGAAAUUGUUGAAAGGGAAGGGCUUGAGAUCAGACUUGGUAUUUUGCGAUCCUUUCCUUCUUGGUUGGGUUCCUCGCAGCUUACUGGGCCAGCAUCGGUUUGGAUGGUAGGAUAAUGACUAAGGAAUGUGGCUCUACUUCGGUGGAGUGUUAUAGCCUUGGUUGAUACUGCCUGUCUAGACCGAGGACUGCGUCUUUUGACUAGGAUGUUGGCAUAAUGAUCUUAAGCCACC
Molecule: ribosomal RNA, 739 nt
Filed under: Debaryomyces hansenii
Lineage: Eukaryota; Fungi; Ascomycota; Pichiomycetes; Serinales; Debaryomycetaceae
Description: eukaryotic LSU rRNA
Rfam family: Eukaryotic large subunit ribosomal RNA (bases 107-739)
Source: RNAcentral